Molecule: ribosomal RNA, 396 nt
Filed under: uncultured bacterium
Lineage: Bacteria
Description: bacterial SSU rRNA
Rfam family: Bacterial small subunit ribosomal RNA
Source: RNAcentral
UAAUACGGAGGGAGCGAACGUUGUUCGGAUUCACUGGGCGUAAAGGGUGUGUAGGCGGUCUUGCAAGUUUGAGGUGAAAUCUUCCGGCUCAACCGGGAAACUGCCUUGAAGACUGCAGGACUUGAGGGCGUGAGAGGAGACUGGAAUUCCUAGUGUAGCGGUGAAAUGCAUAGAUAUUAGGAGGAACACCAGUGGCGAAGGCGAGUCUCUGGCACGCAUCUGACGCUGAGACACGAAAGCCAGGGGAGCGAACGGGAUUAGAUACCCCGGUAGUCCUGGCUGUAAACGUUGGGUACUAAGUGUUGGCCGAUCGACCCGGUCAGUGCUGCAGCUAACGCGCUAAGUACCCCGCCUGGGGAGUACGGCCGCAAGGUUGAAACUUAAAUGAAUUGACGG